AAAGGAAUAGACGGGGACCCGCACAAGCAGCGGAGCAUGUGGUUUAAUUCGAAGCAACGCGAAGAACCUUACCAAGGCUUGACAUCGCAUGACCGGUAUAGAGAUAUACCUUUCCCUUCGGGGACAUGCAGACAGGUGGUGCAUGGUUGUCGUCAGCUCGUGUCGUGAGAUGUUGGGUUAAGUCCCGCAACGAGCGCAACCCUUAUCAAUAGUUGCCAAUAUUAAGUUAGGAACUCUAUUGAGACUGCCGUGGAUAACACGGAGGAAGGUGGGGAUGACGUCAAAUCAUCAUGCCCCUUACGUCUUGGGCUACACACGUGCUACAAUGGCUAUUACAAAGAGUUGCGAAGUGGUAACACGGAGCCAAUCUCAAAAAAAUAGUCCCAGUUCGGAUUGUGGGCUGCAACCCGCCCACAUGAAGUCGGAGUUGCUAGUAAUCCCGAAUCAGCAUGUCGGGGUGAAUGCGUUCCCGGGUCUUGUACACACCGCCCGU
RNAcentral lists this ribosomal RNA (493 nucleotides) under uncultured bacterium. RNAcentral describes it as "bacterial SSU rRNA". It matches the Rfam family "Bacterial small subunit ribosomal RNA", at positions 903 to 1397 of the family's 1533-position model. The record is from RNAcentral.